Molecule: ribosomal RNA, 1152 nt
Filed under: Triticum aestivum (bread wheat)
Lineage: Eukaryota; Viridiplantae; Streptophyta; Magnoliopsida; Poales; Poaceae
Description: partial small subunit ribosomal RNA
Source: RNAcentral
UCUCGUCAGAACGUCUAUUCCUUCCUUUCGAGACCAAGACGCAUGUCGAGGUUGGUUUAAGGCUGGGGAGACGCGUCUGGUUAGUGGUUACGGACCCGGAGGAAGGUGGUGCAGCGACGGCUCCGGCUCGUCCACGAUGGCGACGGCGAGCAGCAGUAGCGGCGGUGGCGGCGGCGGCGGCGGCGUCUUCGUCGCUCCGCGCCUCUCGUUCGCCGCCGGAUAGGCAUUGGGUAGCAGCGGUGGAGAUGAGUAGGCGAGCAAGAACGGCGCGGCUGAUUGAGGAGCGCACGGCGCGCGUUGUCACGUCCGCCUCGCGCCGACGACGACUGGGCCUCCCGCGACCGCUGCCAGCGCCACCGCCACCGCCCGGCGCGAUCUCGCCGCCUCUUCCUGCCGCUGCCGCCCCUACCACCGCUCCCCCACCACCCGCGCAAGUUCAGCGACAAGCUGGGCUUGCUCCUCUGGUUCCGGCCCUUCCACGACGGGUUCCGCAUGGACUUCCGCCGCGCCCUCCACCACGCCUGCGAGGCCCUCAGCGACCCCCUCCCCCUGCGGCGGCCGCUGAGCCGGUCGAAGGCGUCCCCGCGGCUGAGGCGGUUCUGCAGGUAGGCCCUCAAGUAGCCGCCGACCUCUCCGGUCGGGCGGCAGCGGUUUCUCCUCAGCAUACACCGCGACCUCUUCCGGUAGUUUAGCGACCGCCUCAAGAUGAGGUUCCGUCCCGGGAAGCGGAGCGAUGGCCCUCUACAGUUCUUGUUCUAGGACCUGCUGGAAUUGCGGCGUCUUCGAAUGGAGAUCUAGAGGAACGGAUCGCCGUAACAUAAAGCCCGCAUUUAAAGCAAUAUGAACACCUGCACAGGAAAACUACGCUGCAGUACUCAUUUAUUUAUAAACGUAAAAUAAGUCAAAACGGUUACGUCUUCGUGUCUACAUUGGGACUAACUACGAGCGGUCGUCCGGGGUAGGGGAUACUCAAGGAGGUGUCAAUUUUGUAGGAUUUUAAAGUCCAAACUUUAAUGAGCGUCGUCGUACGUACCGUUUCGAAAAAGCGGGUAUGUUGCUCGUAGAAUGUCCGUUACUCCAAGUUUCCACGUUUCGAUAACUGUCUUUGUUGUUGAUUGUAGGUGAUACUAUACUAACCGCCGCGGUAACCGG